RNAcentral lists this ribosomal RNA (3679 nucleotides) under Triticum aestivum (bread wheat). Its description in RNAcentral is "partial small subunit ribosomal RNA". The record is from RNAcentral. Lineage: Eukaryota; Viridiplantae; Streptophyta; Magnoliopsida; Poales; Poaceae.
CUGCCCCUGUCUAGCUCCGCUAAUCUCGCCGGUACUACAAGAAGAAGGGCGGCGGGGGCACGCAGAGAGCAGAGGGGGAAAGGCAAGGCGACGACCACGGGCCCGAGAAAGCAGAGGAGAAAAGCGCCGUCGUCUACCACCAGUCCACCACGUCGGUCCAUCCUCGCGUUGGAAGGACCAUUUAAAGCCCCCGUUCCCACCUGCGAACCCGCCCCCACUACUCCGUCCUCCGCGCCACUCAUCCCGGGGAGCUUUCCUUUCCUCUGCACCCUCACCCCAAAUAAAUCCCGUGGCGUUUCUUGAUCUCCUUGCGAUUCCGGCGACGCGGCGGCGGAAGGUUGCCGGCUGUGCCGCGGUUCUGGCUGCCGCGCUGCUCUGACAAUCGGUUGUUUCGGCGGUUUCUUGAUCCGUCGCCCGCCCGCCCACUGAGUUCGCGGAAAAGGUCGCCGUAGCUCUUUUCUUCUUUCUUUUCCCCCUCGCGGCAACGGCUGUCCCGUGCUCUGCCGCCCAAAACCCUCCUUCCUUCCCUGCCGAUCACGGUUCCGCGGCUGGCCGCUUUCUCGAUCUGUCCCAAUCGGCGGAGCUGGUGGGCGACGUCAGGGUCUCGUCUCCUUUCUGUUUGCUGGUGGCGAGCGUCAUUUAUUACUCCCCAGGUCAAUCCGGACUUGUUCUUCACCCCUGCCGUGCUUGCCCCGUGACCACCACGCCUUUCGGCAAGGGCUCGGUCGGUUUCCUCUUGAUUCUUCCUGUUCCCCUCUAUCCAUCCAAUGCGGCAGUGAGGAGCUUCACAGCGGAGGGAGGGAGGAGCUCGCCGUGCAUGGUUUGACGUGUUUUCUGGUACCCUGCUAGUGCGCCGCCGAGAUGGGCUGCGUCGCGUCCAAGAAGGCCGUCGUCUCUAUCACUCCGGCAGUCGACUCGUCCGGCGUGUUCCGUGACCGCGCGCUGGAGCCCGCUGCCGUCUCCGCCUCCUCCCUGCGCAGCUCGGCUGCUGCAGCCGCGGCGGCGAGGUUGGUGGAGAAGAAGGACGACGCGGAGGAGACGGGAAAGGCUGUCGUCGCCGUGGCGGCCGCGUCGCGGAGCUUCCGGCUGCGGAACCUCCGGAGGAGCCUUGAGGGGGAGCAGGUGGCCGCCGGGUGGCCGUCGUGGCUCAGCGCCGUUGCCGGGGAGGCCAUCCAAGGCUGGAUCCCUCUCAAAGCCGACUCCUUUGAGAAGCUUGAGAAGGUUGGGCAAGGCACAUACAGCAGUGUAUUUAGGGCGCGCGAUCUCGACACUGGAAAGAUUGUCGCACUGAAGAAGGUGCGAUUUGACAAUUUUGAGCCAGAGAGUGUUAGAUUCAUGGCAAGGGAGAUACAGAUAUUGAGAAGGCUUGAUCAUCCAAAUGUCAUGAAGCUGGAAGGCUUGAUUACUUCUAGGUUAUCAUGCAGCCUUUAUCUAGUGUUUGAAUACAUGGAGCACGAUCUUGCUGGUCUUUGUUCCUCCCCUGACAUCAAGUUCACUGAAGCACAGGUUAAGUGCUACAUGAACCAGUUACUGUCAGGACUUGAGCAUUGUCAUUCACGCCGCAUUGUUCACCGUGACAUCAAGGGUGCCAAUCUCCUUGUGAAUAACGAAGGAGUUCUAAAAAUAGCUGAUUUUGGUCUGGCUAAUUACUUUGACCCAAGUAAAAACCAUCCUCUGACCAGCCGGGUUGUUACACUGUGGUACCGACCGCCUGAACUAUUGCUAGGGUCAACUCACUAUGAUUCAGCUGUUGAUUUGUGGAGUGUUGGGUGUGUAUUUGCUGAGUUGUUACGUGGAAGACCUAUCUUACAGGGAAGAACCGAGGUAGAACAAUUGCAUAAGAUCUUUAAGUUAUGUGGCUCCCCUGCUGAUGACUAUUGGAAGAAGUCAAGGUUGCCUCAUGCAACAAUAUUUAAACCUCACUGUCCUUAUCUAAGUACCCUUCGAGAUGUUUUUAAAGAGGUGCCGGAACAUGCAUUCAGUUUACUAGAAACUCUUCUGUCGGUGGAGCCAUACAAGCGUGGUACUGCAUCAUGCGCCCUUACAUCCGGGUUUUUCAAGACAAAACCUUAUGCAUGCGAACCUAUAAGCUUGCCUCAGUAUGCACCCAACAAGGAGAUGGAUGCAAAGUUACGAGAAGAGUUACACAGAAGAAAGGCCGGUAGCAGAGGGCAUGGGCCAGAAACAUCAAAGAAGUCAUCAAGGCUAAACAGAGCAGCAAGAGAACAAAGUGCAGUCAACAGGCAAACCGAGAACAGAGAGGAGUCCAAAACCAAACCAAAGGUAACCAAGGAUGGUGCAGUGCAGGUUCAUACAAAGGUUAAUGGUGAUGCUAGGCUAUUCACAGACACACAACUGGUUCCCGCGGCCCAAGUUAAAGAAAGGGGUCGUCAUGCUAAGAAUGAUUCACGGGAGGAAAUCCCUUUCUCUGGGCCCUUGAUUGUUUCGUCAUCCAGUGGCUUUGCAUGGGCCAAAAAACCGGAAGGUCGUUCUUUUACCAGAUCACGGAACAGAUCUAGUUCAAGAGGCGAAUUCACUGACGUAGAUUGGGACAAGAAGCCACAAGCUAAAGAGAACAUUGGAUUGGAGGAACAACAUAGCAGAGAUGUGCAUGUAGCAUGUGUCAACUCCAAGGUCCGAGAGCCUCAGGAGGUAGCAAAGCGUGCAGUUCUGAAGAAGUGGUCACAGUUAGAGCGUCCAGAUUCAUUUGAUUCUCGCGACACUUACCACUCUCAGAAUUUUUCGAAUGCAAUAUAUCUUGGGGAUGCUCUCUCAUCGAAAAAUAGCAUGAAGGACGACCACUAUCAAGGAGGAGAAAGGGUUGAAUAUUCAGGCCCUUUAUUGUCCCAAACCCACAAGGUUGAUGAACUGUUAGAGAAACAUGAGCGUCACAUUCGGCAAGUGGUCAGAAAAUCGUGGUUCAGGAGAGGAAUAAAGUGAGAGGAAAAGCUUGACCAUUUUUCUCCAUUGGCGAAGCGGCACGCAAGGCACGUGUACAUAGGGAAGGGGGCAUGUCUGAAUCAGGAGCUGGCAUGUUUUUAUCUUGGCUGCGUUUGUCCAUAACACGACAUCGUUGACUCGAAGAUCACUGCUGGGAACAUUAUGAUUCCCGGGCUCACGGCAAAAUCAAGCAUAAUUGCAUCCACCGGAGAAUGACUCCGGCGUGCACUUAGAAGACCGAAACCGGCUAUGCCAUUUCAAUUUUCUUCUUCUUUUCCACUGUUUUUGUGCUUAGGAAUAGCAGCUGACGAAUGUGGUGAAAUUCGGGGUUUGCGUUUGGUUGAACCAGUCAGCCAUUUGUGUCAAUAACCACCACGCAUGGUGCGAUGAUGAUUCUUGUAUAGCUACUAGGUAGCCUUUGCAAAGGGUAACUAAAAAUUGAAGCACCUCUCACUCACUUGCGGCGAUGGAUAUUUCUGAUCUGGUUUAGCACUUUCCUCAGUACUGCAAGCCUGGACUAUGGUAUUGGUAGCUGAAGAGUGUGCGAGCAGAAAACGUCUUACCCUAGUCGAGGGCGACAUGUUGUAUAUAUAUAGCAGGGGAGCCGAUUGGCUUGUACAUGCGGUCAAGAAAGAAAGAAGAGAUAAGAGAGAUCUAAGAUACAUCUUGAGAAACAAGAAAGGAAGAUGGUUACAAGAAGAUCUCUAUGCAAACUACCUCCUGGACUUAUCUCUAGUAU